This 253-nucleotide ribosomal RNA is filed under the name uncultured bacterium. RNAcentral's name for it is "partial 16S ribosomal RNA". It matches the Rfam family "Bacterial small subunit ribosomal RNA", at positions 524 to 776 of the family's 1533-position model. The record is from RNAcentral.
UACGGAAGGGGCAAGCGUUGUUCGGAAUCAUUGGGCGUAAAGCGCGUGUAGGCGGUCCGGUAAGUCCGCUGUGAAAGUCGGGGGCUCAACCCUCGGAUGCCGGUGGAUACUGUCGGGCUUGAGUACGGAAGAGGCGAGUGGAAUUCCUGGUGUAGCGGUGAAAUGCGCAGAUAUCAGGAGGAACACCAAUUGCGAAGGCAGCUCGCUGGGACGUUACUGACGCUGAGACGCGAAAGCGUGGGGAGCAAACAGG